GUCCACGCCCUAAACGAUGAUGACUAGUUGUUGGAGGAGUUAAAUCCUUUAGUAACGCAGCUAACGCGUGAAGUCAUCCGCCUGGGGAGUACGGUCGCAAGAUUAAAACUCAAAGGAAUUGACGGGGGCCCGCACAAGCGGUGGAUGAUGUGGUUUAAUUCGAUGCAACGCGAAAAACCUUACCUACCCUUGACAUGCUAGGAACGCUGCAGAAAUGCAGCGGUGCCCGAAAGGGAACCUAGACACAGGUGCUGCAUGGCUGUCGU
This 266-nucleotide ribosomal RNA is filed under the name uncultured bacterium. Its description in RNAcentral is "partial 16S ribosomal RNA". It matches the Rfam family "Bacterial small subunit ribosomal RNA", at positions 793 to 1055 of the family's 1533-position model. The record is from RNAcentral.